Long non-coding RNA from Alnus glutinosa, 560 nucleotides. RefSeq lists it as uncharacterized. The record is from RefSeq and is a predicted model, not a curated record. NCBI's taxonomy places the organism in Eukaryota, Viridiplantae, Streptophyta, Magnoliopsida, Fagales, Betulaceae. The transcript has 3 exons.
CUCCUCUUUGCUGCAUAUAAAAAACAGCAAAUAAACUCACUGUUUCACAGCCCAAAACAGCAGCACCUCUUCUUUUAAAAGUUGCAGAAAAGUCCUCUUUGUAUCUCUCAAUUUGCUGCAGAAUAAAAAAAAGGAUCACUCUUCUUCCCUUUGAUUCUUUCGGCUCAUGUGAGUUGCUGCAAGAGAGAAUUCUCUUGUAUCUCUCACGGUUCAGAAUCAGAAAAAGAGAAAAAGAUUCUCUUGUGAUUAUAUCUGUGAACGCUUUCCUGAAACUAGAAGAAUUACUUACAACAGUAAGGAAUGCUUUUUCUUGGAAGCUGAAGUUGGCACCACGACACAAGUCAUUGAAGAACACAAAAAAUGGCACCAGUAAAAUCCACGCUCACCGCACCAAUGAUAAGAGAAAAACCUAAAACCAAAACCAACACCAGAAUUCCAACAAGUGGAAAACCCAACCAUAAAUAUACCACAUGUCUCCACCACAGAUCGCCGAAGGCACUCCAAAAGUCGGCACAGAACCUGCCGACAGCCACCAAGAAGCUAAAACCACCGCAAACAAG